AACGAACGCUGGCGGCAUGCCUAACACAUGCAAGUCGAACGAGACCUUCGGGUCUAGUGGCGCACGGGUGCGUAACGCGUGGGAACCUGCCCUUAGGUUCGGCAUAACUCCCCGAAAGGGGUGCUAAUACCGGAUAAUGUCUUCGGACCAAAGAUUUAUCGCCUUUGGGUGUGCCCGCGUUGGAUUAGCUAGUUGGUAGGGUAAAAGCCUACCAAGGCGAAGAUCCAUAGCUGGUCUGGGAGGAGGGUCAGCCACCCUGGGACUGAGACACGGCCCGGAUGUCUACGGGAGGCAGCAGGGGUGAAGAAUGGACACCGCGCGAAUGACUGAGGCAGCAGUGUCGUGUGAGUGAGGAAGGAGUGAGGGACGUAAAUGUAUUUUACCCUGGACGAUAAUGACAGUACCGGGAGAAUAAGCUCCGCUUAACUCGGU
This 432-nucleotide ribosomal RNA is filed under the name uncultured bacterium. RNAcentral's name for it is "partial 16S ribosomal RNA". It matches the Rfam family "Bacterial small subunit ribosomal RNA", at positions 29 to 506 of the family's 1533-position model. The record is from RNAcentral.